This 1143-nucleotide long non-coding RNA is filed under the name Homo sapiens (human). RNAcentral describes it as "long non-coding RNA NONHSAT191102.1". The record is from RNAcentral. Lineage: Eukaryota; Metazoa; Chordata; Mammalia; Primates; Hominidae.
CGGGAGCCUUCAGGGUGGGCUCUGGGGGCCAGGUGCGGCCUCAGCGCCGUCCCUUCCCGGGAAGCCUCCUCCCUGGGGUCCACGCCGGCUCCUGCUGGCUCCCCCAUUCCGCUGAAAUCUGAGGAAAAGGCUCUGGGAACGCAGCCAGACUCCCCCACAGCUCAGACGGCUGUAAAGAAAUAUUCCUGCCAGAUGUUCAGAGGCGGAGGCCAGCAUGAGGUCCCAGAACCAGAGCUUCUAUGGCGGAUUCUCACCAGAAAAUGAAAUUCUCAGCUUACAGGCAACGUACAGGCGAUGCUGCCGGAAACGUGUGUUUUCCUAUCUAGGAGUCAGUCUGUCGCAGACCGAUUCCUGGAUCGCCGAGGUCGCCCACUCUCCCCAGAAGCCUGCUCCCUCCCGACCCGACCGGUGGGAGGCCGCGUCCCCGACGCUUGCCAGGAGCCCCGCCUGCAGCCGAGGCGUCCUCCCCGCGCCGCGGGCUCCUGUGGCAACGGCCGCCUCCCGGCUGGCCUCUUUUCUGCCUUCUGCCUUCCCGUUGGCGACUGGGGAGGCCCGUGGUCAACGAGGCCCCAGCGAUCACCUGGGGGACGUCCUGUAGGGAGAGCCUGACUCACAAGGACCAGUGUUGAGCCGUCGCACCCCCGCUUGGGACCAGGAUGGGCUGCACUUUCCCCACCCGCGGCCCUGGGACCCGCCCCACCCGAAGCCCGGGGAGAUCCAACCGCAGGCUGCCUCCGGCCAGCGGACUCAUUCACACUCCGCAAACAGGCUGGGGCCAGACGCCGCCCUGCCCUAGGUGCCCAGCAAACACGCGGGCCAGCCAGACCCCUGGACCUUCACAGGGAGGAGGAGAUGGAGAUGGGUUCACCCCCCACAAAGGAGGGAGGGGAGGGGAUGGCCGCCAUGCCCAGGUGCCGGGACAGGAGCCGAGGGCCGCGUGCACCCCUUGGGCCCUUGGAGGGGCCGGCAUGUGCCUCUCUGUCCCUGUGCCACUUCCACUGGCCGUACAGGGCCACCACCGCGGAAACCGCAUGUGUAACCCCUGGAAACAGGGUCCUCCUUGAUGAGUCAUGUUCUAAGUUGGGAGGAAAAUUCACUGGAUAGUGGAGGCAGUAGAAAGAAAUAAAAAAAGUCUUUGUUCCA